Molecule: ribosomal RNA, 277 nt
Filed under: uncultured bacterium
Lineage: Bacteria
Description: partial 16S ribosomal RNA
Rfam family: Bacterial small subunit ribosomal RNA
Source: RNAcentral
GAUGAACGCUAGCGGCAGGCCUAAUACAUGCAAGUCGGACGGGAUUGAGGAGCUUGCUCUUCAUGAGAGUGGCGCACGGGUGCGUAACACGUAUGUAACCUACCUUUAUCAGGGGGAUAGCCUCUCGAAAGAGAGAUUAAGCCCGCAUAAAAUCACAGUGCAGCAUUGCACAAUGAUCAAAUAUUUAUAGGAUAAAGAUGGGCAUGCGGAACAUUAGCUAGUUGGCGGGGUAACGGCCCACCAAGGCUACGAUGUUUAGGGGAUCUGAGAGGAUGAC